CUUUUAGUAGCCAAAAGUUAUACUUAUUAUAUGAUUGAGUUAUUUCCCUUUGAACAGAAAUUGUGAUUUGCAAAUAUCAUUUUCAUUAGAUAAUAAUUUAUUUUUAUUAAAGGAUAUAUUUCAUUACAUUACAUUGUGCAGAUGAAAUUGUUGACAUUGAUAGAUAAGUUGCAGAUCUAUAUUAGUUUGUGACAAAUGAAAGAAAAAAUAUUGGGAACUAUUAAUUAUAUAUAUAAAGUUUGAUUACACUAAGUGUUUUUGUCUCGCCUUGACGGAGUCAAAAAGCGAGACAUAGGUAUGCUGUUUCAGGCGGCGAUGGUGACGGCGGCAUCAACAAUGUUUUCGUUUGUGAUUAGGUCUAGUUCAUGGUGAACCACUAGUGGUAGGUCAGUGAUAUUUGGUCUGCAGUUGUAUUAGCAUUGGCACAUCUCAUUACCAUGGAGAUUGUUUGGCCCCGCCCCCUCAGUCAAGGUCUAUUGACUUUGAAACUUUGCUUAGUUUACAUGUAUUAGUUUGUGAUUAGGUCAGUUUACGGGGAACCACUAGUGGUAGGUCAAUGAUAUUUGGUAUGCAGUUGUAUAAGCAUUAGCACAUCUCAUUUCCAUGGAGAAUAUUUGGUCCUUACCCCUCAGUCAAGGUCUAUUGACUUUGAAACUUUGCUUAGUUUUCAUGUAUAAGUUUGUGAUUAGGUCAGUUUAUGGGGGAACCACUAGUGGUAGGUCAAUGAUAUUUGGUAUGCAGCUGUAUAAGCAUUGGCAUAUCUCAUUUCCAUGGAGAUUAUUUGGCCCCGCCCCCUGAUUCAUGGUCUAUUGACUUUGAAACUUUUACUUAGUUUACAUGUAUUAGUUUGUGAUUAGGUCAGUUUAAGAUGAACCACUAAUGUUAAGUCAGUGAUAUUCGUUAUGCAAAUGUAUUGGCAUUUGCAAGUUUCAUUUCCAUGGAGAUUAUAUAACCCCACUCCCUAAUUAUGGUUCAUUGACUUUGAAACUUUUACAUAGUUUACAAGUUAAUGUUUGUGUUUAGGUUUGUUUAAAGGGAACAACUUAUGAAAAGUCAAUGGUAUUUGGUUUGCAGUUGUAUUAGCAUUGGCAUAUCUCAUUUCCAUGAAGAUUGUUUAGCCCUGUACUGUCAGUCAUGGUUCAUUGACUUUGAAUAUUUGCAUAACUUACAUGUUAAAGUAUUGCUAUUUUAAUU
Long non-coding RNA from Mytilus californianus (California mussel), 1194 nucleotides. RefSeq lists it as uncharacterized. Lineage: Eukaryota; Metazoa; Mollusca; Bivalvia; Mytilida; Mytilidae. The transcript has 2 exons. The record is from RefSeq and is a predicted model, not a curated record.